GACGAACGCUGGCGGCGUGCCUAAUACAUGCAAGUAGAACGCUGAAGGAAGGAGCUUGCUCUUUCCGGAUGAGUUGCGAACGGGUGAGUAACGCGUAGGUAACCUGCCUGGUAGCGGGGGAUAACUAUUGGAAACGAUAGCUAAUACCGCAUAACAGUAGAUAUCGCAUGAUAGCUGCUUAAAAGGUGCAAUUGCACCACUACCAGAUGGACCUGCGUUGUAUUAGCUAGUUGGUGAGGUAACGGCUCACCAAGGCAACGAUACAUAGCCGACCUGAGAGGGUGAUCGGCCACACUGGGACUGAGACACGGCCCAGACUCCUACGGGAGGCAGCAGUAGGGAAUCUUCGGCAAUGGACGGAAGUCUGACCGAGCAACGCCGCGUGAGUGAAGAAGGUUUUCGGAUCGUAAAGCUCUGUUGUAAGAGAAGAACGAGUGUGAGAGUGGAAAGUUCACACUGUGACG
Molecule: ribosomal RNA, 464 nt
Filed under: Streptococcus infantis
Lineage: Bacteria; Bacillati; Bacillota; Bacilli; Lactobacillales; Streptococcaceae
Description: bacterial SSU rRNA
Rfam family: Bacterial small subunit ribosomal RNA
Source: RNAcentral